This 466-nucleotide ribosomal RNA is filed under the name Vreelandella stevensii. RNAcentral describes it as "partial 16S ribosomal RNA". It matches the Rfam family "Bacterial small subunit ribosomal RNA", at positions 338 to 795 of the family's 1533-position model. The record is from RNAcentral. Lineage: Bacteria; Pseudomonadati; Pseudomonadota; Gammaproteobacteria; Oceanospirillales; Halomonadaceae.
CCUACGGGUGUGCUGCAGUGGGGAAUAUUGGACAAUGGGCGAAAGCCUGAUCCAGCCAUGCCGCGUGUGUGAAGAAGGCCUUCGGGUUGUAAAGCACUUUCAGUGGGGAAGAAAGCCUUGGGGCUAAUACCCUCGAGGAAGGACAUCACCCACAGAAGAAGCACCGGCUAACUCCGUGCCAGCAGCCGCGGUAAUACGGAGGGUGCGAGCGUUAAUCGGAAUUACUGGGCGUAAAGCGCGCGUAGGCGGUCUGAUAAGCCGGUUGUGAAAGCCCCGGGCUCAACCUGGGAACGGCAUCCGGAACUGUCAGGCUAGAGUGCAGGAGAGGAAGGUAGAAUUCCCGGUGUAGCGGUGAAAUGCGUAGAGAUCGGGAGGAAUACCAGUGGCGAAGGCGGCCUUCUGGACUGACACUGACGCUGAGGUGCGAAAGCGUGGGUAGCAAACAGGAUUAGAUACCCCGGUAGUC